RNAcentral lists this non-coding RNA (34 nucleotides) under unclassified sequences. RNAcentral describes it as "L31-Firmicutes ribosomal protein leader". It matches the Rfam family "L31-Firmicutes ribosomal protein leader". The record is from RNAcentral.
CUCUGAUUAAAGAAUUAAAUCAGGGCCGAAGGAG